This 1627-nucleotide long non-coding RNA is filed under the name Lactuca sativa (garden lettuce). RNAcentral's name for it is "long non-coding RNA (LSAT_LNC005883)". Lineage: Eukaryota; Viridiplantae; Streptophyta; Magnoliopsida; Asterales; Asteraceae. The record is from RNAcentral.
UUUCUUAAUGCUUAUAGGUACAACAUACAGCCUAUCAAUGGUAGUGCCAUGUGGUCCAAUACUGAUUAUACACCACCUCUACCACCCAAAAAAAGACGUAUGCCUGGGAGACCAACCAUCAAAAGAAAGACGGAUGCAAGUGAAAGAGAGGAUAGGCCUGGGAAGCAAAAUGUGAGUAGACAAGGACUAGUUAUCAGAUGUAGCAUAUGCAAGCAAAAGGGGCACAACAAAAAAACUUGUCAUAACUCUUUUCCGAAUGAAGGUUCAUCAAGUAAAGCAGAAAAAAAGAAAAAAAAGCAAUGUGCAAGAAAGAAAACUAAAGUUGAUGGUGUAUGUGAUUAAGGGAUUUAACCUCCAAGGGAUUAUGUUGACCAAUUGCAUAGUACACAACAAACAAUGGCACAAAAUGAGGCUAGAGGUCUUAAUGUUCAUCAUGAUGUUAUUUUGGAAAAAUUAAGGAAAUCUAAAGCUAGUAUGCUUAGAUGAUAUGUAGGUGCUUGCUACAGAUUAUAAGCAUGUGAAUUAAUGUUCUAACCUUUUGUUAAGCUUAUUGUAGACAAAGUGUCUCAUCUUUUGGUAAGCUUAUUGUAGACAAACUGUCUUGUCUUUUGUUAAACUUAAUGUAGACAAACUAUCUCAUCUUUUGUUAAGCCUUUUGUAAACAACUUGAUACUUUCACAUGUAAUUACAUGUUGGUUAUAAAUGUUUGGUUACGCAAGCUAAUGUAUGGUUAUUCAAGUUAGUUCUACAUGUAUGAUGUGUGCAAUUACAUGUUUACUCUUAUUUGUUGUUACAACUAAGAUAAAGCAACACCAAGAAACACACAUGAGACCAUCCCAAGGUUAAGAUUGUCCAAAAGCAAAAUUAAUUGCAGCAAAACAGAACAAAAAUUUAUAUUCUUAGCUUACUUGAAACAAAUUUAUUCAAACAACAACAUCAAGAUACAUACUUUUUCUAAACUAGUACACAUACACUAUUAAAUUGACACAGGACAUCAACAUUUUACUUGACACAUAACAUCAAUACACCUACAAUGACAAAACCCAUAACAUACCAACUAACUUUUCAUAUCCUAGACUUCUGCACAAACAACUGAAUCUCAAACUCUUUAGUCUUCUUUUUAUAUUUCUGCAAUUUUAACUUGUAUCUUCUGACCUCUUUCUCCAUUUCUUCAAGCAUUAGUUCUUGUUUCUUUAUCGUUUCCUCUUGAGCAAGAGCUUUCUAUGAACUUUAUAUAGAAGUCAACGAUACCAGGCUGACAACUCCCGAUCAACCCACUCAAAAAUUUUGCAGCUUGGCUCUGAUGUCUAGAAAUUAAAAAAAAAUACAUGGAAAUAAAUAUUUACAAAUUAUAAACACUUACAUGAGAACAAAAAUUCAGAUUCUAAACACUUACCAAAGAAUUAGGGCAAACAUCAAAUCUCCUACCUGGAAUCUCAUUGGUCUAGCUUGUUCGUCUUUUUUAUUGCUUCCUACAAGAACACGUCCCUCCUUCCUUGGAGGAGUAUCAAUCCCCCAGAUUGGAGCCCGUAGAAGAAGAUGCAAACAUGGGGAGGUAUAUUUGAGAGGAUAUUUGAGCGUCGAUGUUCAUAUCUUUAUAAUAGAACGCCCUAAUUCGAUGUUGACA